CCUACCUUGGUGCUUAGAGCCGCAGUCGCACUCUCUCCGUUAGGGUUCCGCUGUGUUGACAGUCCGCCUCCCGUUUGGCCGUUCUUAGCUCACCUUCGAGUCCGUUCCUAGAAGUUGUUCGUCCUCCACAGUUUGGGUGUCGAGGUUUUCAGCUAGCUUGUCCAGAUGGACGAGGUUCUCGUGGUCCGCAAGGAAAUGGCGAUUCCGCUGCUUAGCCAUCUGGGCUGAAGUUUAAUUUUUUUCCCGUCAUGGUUAUUUAGGGCAAUGACCCAUGUAUUGCCUUAUGCUUUACUACUCUAUUCUCCUGUUAGACUUUUAUUUUGUUCCCUUGGCAUCGUGGUGUGCCUAGAACUUGUAGGGGCUGUGUAUG
Long non-coding RNA from Vigna unguiculata (cowpea), 370 nucleotides. RefSeq lists it as uncharacterized. NCBI's taxonomy places the organism in Eukaryota, Viridiplantae, Streptophyta, Magnoliopsida, Fabales, Fabaceae. The record is from RefSeq and is a predicted model, not a curated record.